Molecule: non-coding RNA, 88 nt
Filed under: Eutreptiella gymnastica
Lineage: Eukaryota; Euglenozoa; Euglenophyceae; Eutreptiales; Eutreptiaceae
Source: RNAcentral
AAAAAUGAUAUAAACACCACCCCCAACUCUCUCUCUUUUUUCCCCUUCCCAUUCUUUUUCUUUUCUUCUUUUCAAUUUUUCGUUUUUA